GACGAACGCUGGCGGCGUGCUUAACACAUGCAAGUCGAACGCUGAAGCUUGGUGCUUGCACUGGGUGGAUGAGUGGCGAACGGGUGAGUAAUACGUGAGUAACCUGCCCUUGACUCUGGGAUAAGCCUGGGAAACUGGGUCUAAUACUGGAUACGACAUGUCACCGCAUGGUGGUGUGUGGAAAGGGUUUUACUGAUUUUGGAUGGGCUCACGGCCUAUCAGCUUGUUGGUGGGGUAAUGGCUCACCAAGGCGACGACGGGUAGCCGGCCUGAGAGGGUGACCGGCCACACUGGGACUGAGACACGGCCCAGACUCCUACGGGAGGCAGCAGUGGGGAAUAUUGCACAAUGGGCGGAAGCCUGAUGCAGCGACGCCGCGUGAGGGAUGACGGCCUUCGGGUUGUAAACCUCUUUCAGCACGGAAGAAGCGAAAGUGACGGUACGUGCAGAAGAAGCGCCGGCUAACUACGUG
This 472-nucleotide ribosomal RNA is filed under the name uncultured bacterium. RNAcentral describes it as "partial 16S ribosomal RNA". It matches the Rfam family "Bacterial small subunit ribosomal RNA", at positions 28 to 507 of the family's 1533-position model. The record is from RNAcentral.